UCCCAAGUGGUCCAGUGGCUAAGACUCUGCACUCCCAAUGCAGGGGGCCCGGGUUUGAUCCCUGGUCAGGGAA
Molecule: transfer RNA, 73 nt
Filed under: Ovis aries (sheep)
Lineage: Eukaryota; Metazoa; Chordata; Mammalia; Artiodactyla; Bovidae
Rfam family: tRNA
About the family: Transfer RNA (tRNA) molecules are approximately 80 nucleotides in length. Their secondary structure includes four short double-helical elements and three loops (D, anti-codon, and T loops). Further hydrogen bonds mediate the characteristic L-shaped molecular structure. tRNAs have two regions of fundamental functional importance: the anti-codon, which is responsible for specific mRNA codon recognition, and the 3' end, to which the tRNAs corresponding amino acid is attached (by aminoacyl-tRNA synthetases). tRNAs cope with the degeneracy of the genetic code in two manners: having more than one tRNA (with a specific anti-codon) for a particular amino acid; and 'wobble' base-pairing, i.e. permitting non-standard base-pairing at the 3rd anti-codon position.
Source: Rfam by way of RNAcentral